This 70-nucleotide transfer RNA is filed under the name Phrynosoma platyrhinos (Desert horned lizard). RNAcentral describes it as "tRNA-OTHER". The record is from RNAcentral. Lineage: Eukaryota; Metazoa; Chordata; Lepidosauria; Squamata; Phrynosomatidae.
GCCAAUGUGGUGUAGUGAUUAGAGCAUUGGACUAUGACUGGAGACCAGGGUUCGAAUCCCAGCUUGGCCA